UACGUAGGGUGCAAGCGUUAAUCGGAAUUACUGGGCGUAAAGCGUGCGCAGGCGGUUGGUGCAAGACAGAUGUGAAAGUCCCCGGGCUUAAACCCUGGGGAACUGCAUUUGUAGACCUGCGACGGCUAGAGUGCGGGCAGACGGGGGAUGGAAUUCCGAGUGUAGCAGUGAAAAUGCGGUAGAGAUGGAUGGAGGAAUACCGAG
This 204-nucleotide ribosomal RNA is filed under the name uncultured bacterium. RNAcentral describes it as "partial 16S ribosomal RNA". It matches the Rfam family "Bacterial small subunit ribosomal RNA", at positions 524 to 713 of the family's 1533-position model. The record is from RNAcentral.